Molecule: ribosomal RNA, 253 nt
Filed under: uncultured bacterium
Lineage: Bacteria
Description: partial 16S ribosomal RNA
Rfam family: Bacterial small subunit ribosomal RNA
Source: RNAcentral
UACGAAGGGGGCUAGCGUUGUUCGGAAUUACUGGGCGUAAAGCGCACGUAGGCGGAUAUUUAAGUCGGGGGUGAAAUCCCGGGGCUCAACCCCGGAACUGCCUUCGAUACUGGGUAUCUUGAGUUCGGAAGAGGUGAGUGGAAUUGCGAGUGUAGAGGUGAAAUUCGUAGAUAUUCGCAGGAACACCAGUGGCGAAGGCGGCUCACUGGUCCGAUACUGACGCUGAGGCGCGAAAGCGUGGGGAGCAAACAGG